CCAACGGCUCUCUUUAGAGCCACAGUCCGUGCAUAAAGCUAGAAG
Non-coding RNA from Steinernema glaseri, 45 nucleotides. The record is from Rfam. NCBI's taxonomy places the organism in Eukaryota, Metazoa, Nematoda, Chromadorea, Rhabditida, Steinernematidae.